RNAcentral lists this unclassified non-coding RNA (336 nucleotides) under soil metagenome. RNAcentral describes it as "partial contains 5.8S ribosomal RNA, internal transcribed spacer 2, and large subunit ribosomal RNA". The stretch from base 1 to 120 matches the Rfam family "5.8S ribosomal RNA", at positions 35 to 154 of the family's 154-position model. The record is from RNAcentral.
GAUGAAGAACGUAGCGAAAUGCGAUAAGUAAUGUGAAUUGCAGAAUUCAGUGAAUCAUCGAAUCUUUGAACGCACAUUGCGCCCGCCAGUAUUCUGGCGGGCAUGCCUGUUCGAGCGUCAUUUCAACCAUCAAGCCCCCGGCUUGUGUUGGGGACCUGCGGCUGCAGCAGGCCCUGAAAAGCAGUGGCGGGCUCGCUGUCACACCGAGCGUAGUAGCAUAUAUCUCGCUCUGGGCGUGCUGCGGGUUCCGGCCGUUAAACCACCUUCAUAACCCAAGGUUGACCUCGGAUCAGGUAGGAAGACCCGCUGAACUUAAGCAUAUCAAUAAGCGGAGGA